RNAcentral lists this ribosomal RNA (595 nucleotides) under uncultured Bacteroidota bacterium. RNAcentral's name for it is "bacterial SSU rRNA". It matches the Rfam family "Bacterial small subunit ribosomal RNA", at positions 122 to 715 of the family's 1533-position model. The record is from RNAcentral. Lineage: Bacteria; Pseudomonadati; Bacteroidota.
CAACCUGCCCAUCACUUGGGGAUAACCUUGCGAAAGUAAGACUAAUACCCAAUGACGUCUCUAGAAGACAUCUGAAAGAGAUUAAAGAUUUAUCGGUGAUGGAUGGGGAUGCGUCUGAUUAGCUUGUUGGCGGGGUAACGGCCCACCAAGGCGACGAUCAGUAGGGGUUCUGAGAGGAAGGUCCCCCACAUUGGAACUGAGACACGGUCCAAACUCCUACGGGAGGCAGCAGUGAGGAAUAUUGGUCAAUGGGCGAGAGCCUGAACCAGCCAAGUAGCGUGCAGGAUGACGGCCCUAUGGGUUGUAAACUGCUUUUAUAAGGGAAUAAAGUGAGUCUCGUGAGACUUUUUGCAUGUACCUUAUGAAUAAGGACCGGCUAAUUCCGUGCCAGCAGCCGCGGAAAUACGGAAGGUCCGGGCGUUAUCCGGAUUUAUUGGGUUUAAAGGGAGCGUAGGCCGGAGAUUAAGCGUGUUGUGAAAUGUAGACGCUCAUCGUCUGCACUGCAGCGCGAACUGGUUUCCUUGAGUACGCACAAAGUGGGCGGAAUUCGUGGUGUAGCGGUGAAAUGCUUAGAUAUCACGAAGAACUCCGAUUG